Molecule: unclassified non-coding RNA, 310 nt
Filed under: plant metagenome
Description: partial contains 5.8S ribosomal RNA, internal transcribed spacer 2, and large subunit ribosomal RNA
Rfam family: 5.8S ribosomal RNA (bases 1-105)
Source: RNAcentral
GAAAUGCGAUAAGUAGUGUGAAUUGCAGAAUUCAGUGAAUCAUCGAAUCUUUGAACGCACAUUGCGCCCCUUGGUAUUCCAUGGGGCAUGCCUGUUCGAGCGUCAUUUGUACCCUCAAGCUCUGCUUGGUGUUGGGUGUUUGUCCCCGUCUCCGCGCGUGGACUCGCCCCAAAGUGAUUGGCAGCCGGCGUACUGGUCCCGGAGCGCAGCACAUGUCGCCCAAACGAGUGCCUUGGUACGGCGGCGUCCAUAAGCCCCUCUCUCACGCUCUUGACCUCGGAUCAGGUAGGGAUACCCGCUGAACUUAAGC